This 320-nucleotide small RNA is filed under the name Pan troglodytes (chimpanzee). RNAcentral's name for it is "processed transcript". Lineage: Eukaryota; Metazoa; Chordata; Mammalia; Primates; Hominidae. The record is from RNAcentral.
GGGACUGAGGCAGCAUGGCUCAGGAGCUACUUAUCUUAUUCUCAACCCAGAAACUUCACUGUCCCCAAGGCCCCUCUGACUCAGCGGUGAAGCCAAGAAAUCUGGGAGCAAGAAAGAGAAAACUCCACCUGAAAAUACUCGGGACCAUAAUACUUGGGAUCAAACUGAGCUGGCUUACAGCUUCGCCAUGGGCUGCUGGCCCAAGAAUGGACUUCUAGACAUGAACAAGGGCCUCAGCCUGCAACACAUAGGCCGGCCCCACAGCGGCAUUGACGACUGCAAGAACAUUGCCAACAUCAUGAAGACACUCGCCUAUCGAG